UACGUAGGCAGCGAGCGUUGUUCGGAGUUACUGGGCGUAAAGCGUGCGUAGGCGGUGUCUUAAGUUUGUUGUGAAAUCUCCCGGCUUAACCGGGAGGGUGCGGCGAAUACUGAGAUGCUGGAGUGCCGGAGAGGUAAGCGGAAUUCCUGGUGUAGCGGUGAAAUGCGUAGAUAUCAGGAGGAACACCUGCGGUGUAGACGGCUUACUGGACGGUAACUGACGCUGAGGCACGAAAGCGUGAGUAGCAAACAGG
Molecule: ribosomal RNA, 253 nt
Filed under: uncultured bacterium
Lineage: Bacteria
Description: partial 16S ribosomal RNA
Rfam family: Bacterial small subunit ribosomal RNA
Source: RNAcentral